Molecule: transfer RNA, 78 nt
Filed under: Nippostrongylus brasiliensis
Lineage: Eukaryota; Metazoa; Nematoda; Chromadorea; Rhabditida; Heligmosomidae
Rfam family: tRNA
About the family: Transfer RNA (tRNA) molecules are approximately 80 nucleotides in length. Their secondary structure includes four short double-helical elements and three loops (D, anti-codon, and T loops).
Source: Rfam by way of RNAcentral
GGCUCUGAGGUGUAGUGUUUUAACACCAACAGCUCCAUCAAAAGGCAUUGAGGGUGGGUUCAAAUCCCGCCUGAGCCG